UGGGAUGUGGCUCAGUUGGUAGAGAGUUUGCCUAGCAUUUACAAAGUUCUGGGUCCCAUCCCCAGCAUCNCAU
This 73-nucleotide transfer RNA is filed under the name Neotoma lepida (desert woodrat). It matches the Rfam family "tRNA". Rfam says of the family: Transfer RNA (tRNA) molecules are approximately 80 nucleotides in length. Their secondary structure includes four short double-helical elements and three loops (D, anti-codon, and T loops). Further hydrogen bonds mediate the characteristic L-shaped molecular structure. tRNAs have two regions of fundamental functional importance: the anti-codon, which is responsible for specific mRNA codon recognition, and the 3' end, to which the tRNAs corresponding amino acid is attached (by aminoacyl-tRNA synthetases). tRNAs cope with the degeneracy of the genetic code in two manners: having more than one tRNA (with a specific anti-codon) for a particular amino acid; and 'wobble' base-pairing, i.e. permitting non-standard base-pairing at the 3rd anti-codon position. Lineage: Eukaryota; Metazoa; Chordata; Mammalia; Rodentia; Cricetidae. The record is from Rfam by way of RNAcentral.